Molecule: small nuclear RNA, 164 nt
Filed under: Saimiri boliviensis boliviensis (Bolivian squirrel monkey)
Lineage: Eukaryota; Metazoa; Chordata; Mammalia; Primates; Cebidae
Description: U1 spliceosomal RNA (ENSSBOG00000019577.1)
Rfam family: U1 spliceosomal RNA
About the family: U1 is a small nuclear RNA (snRNA) component of the spliceosome (involved in pre-mRNA splicing). Its 5' end forms complementary base pairs with the 5' splice junction, thus defining the 5' donor site of an intron.
Source: Rfam by way of RNAcentral
CUGAUCACCUGGUAGGGGAGAUACCGUGAUCAUGAAGGUGGUUUUCCCAUGGCGAGCCUUACCCAUCGUGCUACAGAUGUGCUGACCCCUGCGAUUUCCUCAAAUGUGGGAAACUCGACUGCCUAAUUUGUGGUAGUGGGGGACUGCGUUCGCGCUUUCCCGGG